UCGAGCGCCCCGCAAGGGGAGCGGCAGACGGGUGAGUAACGCGUGGGAACAUACCCUUUGGUUCGGAAUAACUCAGGGAAACUUGAGCUAAUACCGGAUACGUCCGUAAGGAGAAAGAUUUAUCGCCAAAGGAUUGGCCCGCGUCCGAUUAGCUAGUUGGUGAGGUAACGGCUCACCAAGGCUACGAUCGGUAGCUGGUCUGAGAGGAUGAUCAGCCACAUUGGGACUGAGACACGGCCCAAACUCCUACGGGAGGCAGCAGUGGGGAAUAUUGGACAAUGGGCGCAAGCCUGAUCCAGCCAUGCCGCGUGAGUGAUGAAGGCCUUAGGGUUGUAAAGCUCUUUUGUCCGGGAAGAUAAUGACUGUACCGGAAGAAUAAGCCCCGGCUAACUUCGUGCCAGCAGCCGCGGUAAUACGAAGGGGGCUAGCGUUGUUCGGAAUCACUGGGCGUAAAGCGCACGUAGGCGGACCGUUAAGUCGGAGGUGAAAGCCUGGGGCUCAACCCCAGAACUGCCUUCGAUACUGGCGGUCUUGAGUAUGGUAGAGGUUGGUGGAACUCCGAGUGUAGAGGUGAAAUUCGUAGAUAUUCGGAAGAACACCAGUGGCGAAGGCGGCCAACUGGACCAUUACCGACGCUGAGGUGCGAAAGCGUGGGGAGCAAACAGGAUUAGGUACCCUGGUAGUCCACGCUGUAAACGAUGAGAGUUAGCCGUUGGGGUGCAUGCACCUCAGUGGCGCAGCUAGCGCGUUAAGCUCUCCGCCUGGGGAGUACGGUCGCAAGAUUAA
Molecule: ribosomal RNA, 786 nt
Filed under: uncultured Alphaproteobacteria bacterium
Lineage: Bacteria; Pseudomonadati; Pseudomonadota; Alphaproteobacteria
Description: bacterial SSU rRNA
Rfam family: Bacterial small subunit ribosomal RNA
Source: RNAcentral